RNAcentral lists this transfer RNA (73 nucleotides) under Hordeum vulgare. Its description in RNAcentral is "tRNA-Leu". The record is from RNAcentral. Lineage: Eukaryota; Viridiplantae; Streptophyta; Magnoliopsida; Poales; Poaceae.
GGAUGGCAAUAGUGCAGUGGUUAGCUCAAAUGUUUAGUCCAGUGGGUCUUGGGAUCGAAUCCCAGGCUAGCCC